This 107-nucleotide small nuclear RNA is filed under the name Mus spicilegus (steppe mouse). The record is from RNAcentral. Lineage: Eukaryota; Metazoa; Chordata; Mammalia; Rodentia; Muridae.
GUGCUAGCUUCAGCAGCACAUACACUAAAAUUGGAAUGAUACAGAGAAGAUUAGCAUGGCUCCCGUGCAAGGAUGACAUGCAAAUUCAUGAUGUGUUCCAUAUUUUA